RNAcentral lists this transfer RNA (32 nucleotides) under Myotragus balearicus (Balearic islands cave goat). Its description in RNAcentral is "partial tRNA-Ala". The record is from RNAcentral. Lineage: Eukaryota; Metazoa; Chordata; Mammalia; Artiodactyla; Bovidae.
GAGGAUUUAGCUUAAUUAAAGUGGUUGAUUUG